CUUGCUCCACCGGAAAAAGAGGAGUGGCGAACGGGUGAGUAACACGUGGGUAACCUGCCCAUCAGAAGGGGAUAACACUUGGAAACAGGUGCUAAUACCGUAUAACAAUCAAAACCGCAUGGUUUUGAUUUGAAAGGCGCUUUCGGGUGUCGCUGAUGGAUGGACCCGCGGUGCAUUAGCUAGUUGGUGAGGUAACGGCUCACCAAGGCCACGAUGCAUAGCCGACCUGAGAGGGUGAUCGGCCACAUUGGGACUGAGACACGGCCCAAACUCCUACGGGAGGCAGCAGUAGGGAAUCUUCGGCAAUGGACGAAAGUCUGACCGAGCAACGCCGCGUGAGUGAAGAAGGUUUUCGGAUCGUAAAACUCUGUUGUUAGAGAAGAACAAGGAUGAGAGUAACUGUUCAUCCCUUGACGGUAUCUAACCAGAAAGCCACGGCUAACUACGUGCCAGCAGCCGCGGUAAUACGUAGGUGGCAAGCGUUGUCCGGAUUUAUUGGGCGUAAAGCGAGCGCAGGCGGUUUCUUAAGUCUGAUGUGAAAGCCCCCGGCUCAACCGGGGAGGGUCAUUGGAAACUGGGAGACUUGAGUGCAGAAGAGGAGAGUGGAAUUCCAUGUGUAGCGGUGAAAUGCGUAGAUAUAUGGAGGAACACCAGUGGCGAAGGCGGCUCUCUGGUCUGUAACUGACGCUGAGGCUCGAAAGCGUGGGGAGCAAACAGGAUUAGAUACCCUGGUAGUCCACGCCGUAAACGAUGAGUGCUAAGUGUUGGAGGGUUUCCGCCCUUCAGUGCUGCAGCUAACGCAUUAAGCACUCCGCCUGGGGAGUACGACCGCAAGGUUGAAACUCAAAGGAAUUGACGGGGGGCCCGCACAAGCGGUGGAGCAUGUGGUUUAAUUCGAAGCAACGCGAAGAACCUUACCAGGUCUUG
Molecule: ribosomal RNA, 927 nt
Filed under: Enterococcus faecium
Lineage: Bacteria; Bacillati; Bacillota; Bacilli; Lactobacillales; Enterococcaceae
Description: bacterial SSU rRNA
Rfam family: Bacterial small subunit ribosomal RNA
Source: RNAcentral